Molecule: ribosomal RNA, 426 nt
Filed under: Triticum aestivum (bread wheat)
Lineage: Eukaryota; Viridiplantae; Streptophyta; Magnoliopsida; Poales; Poaceae
Description: partial small subunit ribosomal RNA
Source: RNAcentral
GCUGAGUGGUGGUUCCAAUUUGGAGGGGAAGUUCCUAAUCUGCAGAAGUGUGCCUUGAGGAUUGUAUCACAAUGCGUUUCGUCAAGUGGCUGUGAGAGGAAUUGGAGCGCUUUUGCUUUGGUCCACACGAAGCAAAGAAACCGUCUUCUAUAUGGCAAGCUGCACAAGCUUGUAUCUGUGCGCUACAACUUGAAGAUACGUGCUGAAGAAGAAGAAGACCCGGUGAGAGAGAAUGAUAAGCAGAAGGAAGUUGAUGCAUGUGCAAUGAUGAUGGAUACAACCAUGUUUGAUGCAACAAAUCCUAUGAUGGAAUGGUUGAAUGAGGAUGAGGAGCAUGCAAUCUUGGAUGGAGUUGAUGCUGCUAGCGCCGUGUUUGAGAAAAUACGUUUGCUUAACUCAAGUAGGAAAGUGUCUCGUCUUGCAAGG